GAUUCCUUGAGAACCUUGUGACCCUAGCACCUCAAGUGUGAUGCCUCAAAUGUCUCACACAACACUACAACACUUGGAAUAACCUUGAGAGAAGUUCACUAACACCUCAAAAUUGGAUAGCCCUCUAUCUUGUAUAAGUAGUGCCGAUUUUGCUAGACUAGGGGUCUUUAUAUAGUUUUGGCACAAGUAGGGUUACAUCAUGUAAACCCUAAUUGUCAUGGCUUUCCAUAUUCCAUGAUCCAUGAUUUUGUAACUCCACGGAUUAUCCAUGGAGCACCUUAUGGUUUUUAAACUAAUCCAUACAAACCGUGGAUCAUUAGCCCACUAUACAAGAAUAGACGAUUUACAAAAUCAACCCCAUAUAUUUAAUUAGUCUCUUUUUGAUCAUUUAAUUAAUUCCAAAUUAAUUCUUUGAUCAAUACUAAUUAAAUAAUAUUAUUAAUAUAUUAGAACUUAUAAUAUAUUAAUAAACCUUAAGUGUCCUUUCUCUCAUUUUAGUUUAUCCAAGUGUUGCAAUGCCAUGCAACCCAAAUGGACCAUGUUAAUAGGGUCAAGUACAUUCCAGAAAUGUUUAUGAACUUAGACACCUAAUCCAAUAGUCUCCUACUUGGAUAAGUCUAAUAACUAUAACUGCAAGAAUGACUUCAGGAACCGAUCAACAAUCGUAGCUCUUUCAAGGUCUCGCGGAACUAAGAUGAUGAUGAUACGCCAUUUAAGAUAAGUGAUCAUAUAAUCCUCUGUUCUAGAUACCAGCCGGACAAAUACAUGGAACAAUGUCUUACUUAUUGUCCAGCAAUUUGUUUCUCGAUUUCCGAUUUGUAUGACAUAGAACAUAAUUGAACACAUCAACUUAGUUCUGACCGGGCCCGAUACAUGGGUCAAUAUAAAAACAUCGAGGGGUGCAGAUAUCGCUUCUAAUCCAAGAAAGAACAGAUAAACUUCGACUCAUAUGCUUGUUCUACUACUUGUUGAAUUAUACACACAGACACGUUUUAUAACAUCGAAUUACCAAUGUGUUUUCGUACAAUCAAUGUAUAACAAUCUCAUAGGCAAUAAGUCAUAUAUCUAGGUUUCAAGACUUAUAGAUAUUACCGUCUCACAAUCACUCGAGAUAGAUUCCAUGAAGUGAUACCAGUGAGCGUGGGUUGAAUCCAAUACUCAGAACUUAUGAGCACUCAUGAGUGUUGUAGCAACACUUUGCAAUGUCCAACACUUUAGAUAUCUACAACCAACUACAUGACAGUCUUGAUUUAUAUCUACUUGCAACAUAUGACCGACUGUGGAGAAUUUGAAUAAUAUGUAAUACAAUAACAUAAUUAUUCUGGAAGUCAAAACAUGCAAAAUUGAAAUGACAGUAAAUCAUUGACAAAAGAUAGCAACACUUUACUCAUAAAUAAACACAACUUUUAUUCAUUAUCAUAUGUUAAUUACACUUUACACAUUUCAAAGCUAUCUAACUACUAAAACUAAUAUCAUCAUUCAUCUCUAUGUGCCUCGCAUGCUGGAGACGCUUAACCCUACUCAAUCCCUUUGUGAGGGGAUCUGUCGGGUUCUCAUCCGAUGAUACCCUCUUUGCCAUGAGGAGUUCUUCUUCUAUUCGAUGUCUAAUGAAAUCGUAUUUUCUGUCGAUGUGUCUAGAUCUCUUGUGGUCCUUUGGUUCCUUUGCUAAGGCAACUGCACUUUCACUAUCACAAGAAAUCUCUAAAGGCUUCUUUAUAGCUGGUACAACUACAAGGUCUCCAAUGAAGUUCUUUAGCCAUAUACCCUCCUUUUCUGCCUCGCUUGUCGCUAUAUACUCUAAUUCGCAAGUUGAAUCAACCACUGUCUCCUGCUUGGAACUUUUCCAAGAAAUUGCUCCUCCGUUUAAGGUAAAGACCCAGCCUGACCGAGAGAGGAAAUUAUCCCUAUCAGUUUGAAAGCUAGCAUCACUAUACCCUAAUACUCUAAAGUCAUCACUCCCAUCGAGGGUAAGGACCCAAUCCUUAGUCCUCUGCAGGUACUUGAGAAUGUUCUUUACCGCAGUCCAGUGAGCCUUGAUAGGGUUCCCCUGAUAUCUGCUGACCAUGCUCAGUGCAAAGGCCAUAUUAGGAUGAGUAUAAGCCAUAGCAUACAUGAUCGAGCCUACAACGGAAGCAUACGGUACUCGACUCAUCUCUGCUAUCUCAGCCUCUGUACUCGGGCUCUGAUUCUUACUUAGUUUGGCGUUACUAUGCAUCGAUAACUCUCCUUUCUUGGAAUUCUGCAUGCUAAAUCUAUUAAGCACCUUCUCUAAGUAGGUACUCUGACUAAGUUAAAUUAGUCUUUUACUCCUGUCUCUCAAAAUUCUUAUCCCUAGGAUAUAGGCAGCUUCUACAAGGUCCUUCAUAGUGAAACACUUCCCAAGCUAGGACUUCACUUCCUGCAGAGUUGGCAUGUCAUUUCCUAUGAGUAGUAUGUCAUCGACAUACAAUACCAGAAAGCUGACUAUACUCCCAGUAGCCUUGACAUAUACACAAGAUUCAUCUUCACUCCUCGAAAAUCCAAACUCUUUGACUUACUCAUCGAAACUAAGAUGCCAUAUGCGAGGUUCUUGCUUUAAUCCAUAGAUGUUUUUAUCAAGCUUACACACUCUAUUAGGGUAUUUUGUACCGGCAAAACCAUUUGGUUGACUCAUGUAAACAUCCUCAGCCAGCUUUCCACUAAGGAAAGCGGUUUUGACAUCCAUUUGUCAUAUUUCAUAAUCAUGAAAUGCAGCAAUGGCUAACAUAACCCUAAUAGACUUAAUCUUCGCUACUGGUGAAAAGGUCUCAUCAUAAUCAACUCCCGGAGUUUGAGAAAAGCCCUUUACAACCAGUCGCGACUUAUAAGUGUGUACAUUACCAUCCAUUUUGGUCUUCUUCUUGAAGAUCCAUUUGCACCCAACUGUCUUACGACAUGGUACAUUGUCAGCCAAGUUCCAAACUUGAUUGUCAUACAUGGACUGUACCUCACUGUCCAUAGCCUCUUUCCAUUUAACAACCUCAGGGCCUGCCAUAGCUUCUGUGUAACUGUUAGGUUCAUCCAAACUUACCAGUGUGCUAUCACUUAUAAGUGUAUCACCUUCCAUAGUAAUAUGGAAACCAUAGUAAUGCUUAGGUGCAUUCCUAACGCUCGUGGAAUGCCUCAGAGGUACAGAUUCUUCUGUCGGAUCAACAGGAGUUUCCUCCUCUGGUUGAUUGCUAAGGUUUGAGGUUCCUUCACCACUUGACUCUUGAAUUUCUUCAAGGUCAAUUUGCUUCCCACUCUUUCCUUGGCUCAUGAAAUCUCUCUCGCGAAAGACUACUCUCCUUGCUACAAAGACCACAUUAUCACUAGGUCUGUAGAAGAGGUAACCAAAGGAUCUUUAUGGGUAGCCGAUGAAAAUACACCUCUCACUUCGAGGUUCGAGCUUAUCGUGAGACUCACGCUUCAUGAAAGACUCGCAACCCCAAAUCUUGAUGUGUUCCAGAUUGGGAACUUCUCCGGACCACAUCUCAUGAGGUGUUUUGGCAACCAUCUUUGUAGGGACUAGAUUAAGGAUAUGGUCGGCAGUCUUUAAGGCAUACCCCUAGAAUGAGAUUGGUAGCGAAGCUCGACUCAUCAUGGAAUGAACCAUAUCCAACAAGGUUUGAUUGCGCCUCUCAACCACACCAUUAAGCUGUGGUGACCUGGGAGGUGUCAAUUGUGAGAUAAUCCCACAUUCCUUAAGAUAGUUAACGAACUCUGUACUAAGAUACUCACCUCAAUCGGAUCGAAGCAUCUUAAUGUUCAUGUCAAACUAAUUCUCCACUUCCUGUUUGAACUCUUUGAAUCUUUCAAAGGUAUCUGACUUAUGAUUGAUUAAGUGGAAAAAUCCAUAUCUACUAAAAUCAUCAGUAAAAGUCACAUAGAAUCGGUUAGCAUCUCUUGUGGCGGUUCUGAAGGGUCCACAUACAUCAGUAUGUAUGAGGUCCAACAAACCCUCACCCCAAGCACAAGUACCAAUGAAGGUUGACUUUGUCAUUUUCCCAAGAAAACAAGAUUCACAACUAUCAUCUGACUUUAGGUCGAAUGACUCCAAUACUCCAUCCUUUUGGAGUUGGCCUAUGCAUUUCUUUCUUACAUGUCCAAGACGACAAUGCCAUAAUGAUGCUUUAUCCAAACUAGUGGAAGAAUCGAUACACAAUACAUUAUUUCCUAGGUUAUCAACAACCUACACAGUUUCAUAUACACCAUCACAAGGUAAUGCUUUAAAAUAAAAAAAAGUUAUUAAAGAAAUCAUUAAUACCACCCGUUUCAUUAUCAAACGAAAAGGUAAAACCUUGUUGGUACAAACCAUGAAAGGAAAUAAUAUUUCUCGCCAUUUCAGAUGAGUAACAACACUUAUUCAAAUCUAACACUAAUCCAAUACUUAGCGAUAAAGUAUAAACUCCAAUCUUGGUGACAGGUGAAGCUUUCCUAUUCCCCAUGAUCAAGUUUAUCUUACCAUGCUCCACAUUCUCAGUUCUUCUUAGUCCUUGUAAAUCAGUACAUAUGUGAAUACCACAACCUGUAUCAAGGACCCAAGAAUUAGAAUGGGGUGAAUUAUUAGACAAUAUAGUGUAUGUAUCCGCAUGGUUGGGUUUUACUUUCCCAUCCUUCACAUCUUGCAUUCUCUUUGGGAAGUUUCGCUUCUAGUGCGACUUUUCAUGGCAAUAGAAGCAUUUAGCCUCUUUAGGGUUAACAGAAGGAGUGACGAAACCUUUCUUGGUUCCACUUGAAGAGGAGCCAUCAAGAGACUUUCCCUUGGUACCCUUCGAAGGGCUCUUCCUCUUCUUUCCUUUUCCUUGCCCAAUUGCCAAGAUAGGGGCCGCGGUAGGAGUACGAGUGGUAAUAACCGAUUUAUUCUUAAGACCACUUUAUGUGGUCUUCAAGAGUCCUUGAAGUUUGCUAAGUGUAACUUCAUCCUUGUUCAUGUGGUAUGUCAUAUGGAAUUAAUCAUAAGACGAAGGUAAGGAGUGCAAAAUGAUGUCAAUUGCCAACUCCUCAGGGAAGUUCACAUUCAGUUUCAACAAACGGUACACAUACCUUUACAUUUUCUGCAUAUGGCCCAUGAUGGGUUCACCAUCCUUCAUUCAGGUUGUUCUCAUGGAGGAGAUGAUUUCAUAUCGGUCUUGACAAGCACUCUGAUGGUAGCGGUCCAUCAAAUCCUGUUGCAUCUCAAAAGGAUAGUAGUCCUUAUAGGACUUUUGGAGUUCGGCUGUCAUAGUAGCCAACAUGAUACAUGUUACUUUUGUAGCAUCUCUUUCAUGUGCCUGAUAUUCAGCGAUCUCCUCAGGAGUAGCAGACAACUCAAGUUCCUUAAGCUCCUUGUCGAGGAUAUAUUCCUUGUCCUCAUAGCGAGUGACCAUCCUGAUGGUCCUGAUCCAAUCCAUAAAGUGGGAUCCAUCAAAGAUGACUCUCCCACAAAAUUCAUGAGAGAGAAUAAGCCAGUAGGGUUUGAGCCAGAAGCAGCAUUGUUGGAAGACAUCUGAAAACAAGAAAGACAAGUUUAGAUUAGAUAUAAAGAUAGUCCUUAAUAAAACACUCACAUGUAAUAUUAAGGCUAGGACCCAACACAAUAUUUUAUAACUUAGAAGAGGGAUGUCGUAAUCCAAACUAUAAAAUAUUUGAAGGUAGGUGAAUGACGAAUCACAAAUUUUCACCAUGAAAAAUGAAAUAAAUUUUUAGAUUUUUUAUUGGUUUUGAAACUCCUAGAUUCUUUGAGAUUCAUUGAACUUUUCAAUGACAUGUUUCAAUCUCGAGUGUGCCCUUCAGGUUUUGUGACUAAGAUGUCGAGGAUCACAAAACAAGGUGUGAAGUAACCAUGCGAAUUACUUGGUACCAUUAAUGUUUAACACUCAAUUGAUGUGUUGGACCCUCUACCGAUCAAGGAAGCGGUGGGUGAGAGUGGACACCCAUUAAGUUGCCAUUUUAUAGGCAGCAACCUUAUACCCCCCCCCCCCCUUAUAGACCGACUUCAUGAAUGAGGACUACUAACAAUAAAACGACUUUCUCUUAUACAUAUAUGAAUAUUAUUAAACUUAUAAUAUUAUAAGUAUAAGGGUUGAAUAUUAACUUUUAAAAUUCUAGGGGUUGGAACUAAAGUUUUUAAAGUGAGUUUACAUGUUCCAAAACUUGAUGGCAAGUUUUGUAACUUUCAAAACUUUUCAUCUUUCAUAACUUAUGAGUUAGUGGUUUAUUAAAAUGAGAGACUUUUCAUUUUAUGUAACCUAUAUGUUUCGUUAAUGAAAUUCACAAAGAAUGACUUUUGGUAAUCCAUAACUUGAGGACAAAUUAUGGAUUCCAUUAAAACACAUAAUGAUCAAGAAUUAAACUAACAAGCAAGUUACAAAUAAUUCCUAUGAUCUUCUAAACUCAUAAGUUCAUGAACAUGCAUAUCAACAAUUUCAAGAAUCCUAAAUUAACCAUAUAAAACUUGAAAUUUUUAUAAUAGCUAUUGAAAAUGGAUUAACAUAACCAUUACACCAUCUAAAACAACUUUUAUAACACCAAAACAGUUUAGGGUAAUGUUUCAAGUCCAGUUCCAGCAGCAAAACUCGAAAAUCUACAUUCUGGGGCUCCUUCUCGUCGAGUGCACGAACCUACUCAACGAGUAGGAUGAAUUUACUCGAGGACUCAUCGGGUCCCCUCAUGGACUCGGCGAGUUCAUGCUGCAGAAUGCAGAAAACUUGAGUUUUUUCAACAAUUUGCAUCAAGUAUCAAAUAAACAAGCCUAGGCUCUGAUACCACUGAAGGGUUUUGAGCAUUCUAACACUCCUAAGGUGUACAUGCAACCCUAGAAACCUUGGAUCUAUGUUUUGCUAUGAUACAUGCAAAACUGAUUUUCUAAGGUUCUUAACAUACCUAGCAUAGCAUGGGGAUCUUUUAAACAUAAAUGCUAGAAGAAGAACAUACCUUUUGUUGUUUGGAUUCCUUGAGAACCUUGUGAGCCUAGCACCUCAAGAGUGAUGCCUCAAAUGUAUCACACAACACUUGGAAUAACCUUGAGACAAGUUCACUAACACCUCAAAAUCUGCUAGCCCUCAAUCUUGUAAAAGUAGUGUCGAGUUUGCUAGACUAAGGGUCUUUAUAUAGUUGUGGCACAAGUAGGGUUACACCAUGUAAACCCUAAUUGUCAUGGCUUUCCAUAUUCCAUGAUCUAUGGGUUGUAACCUCAAUGGAUUAUCCAUGGAGCACCUUAUGGGUUUUAACCUAAUCCAUACAAACCAUGGAUCAUUAGCCCACUAUACAAGAAUAGAUGAUUUACACAAUCAACCCCAUAUAUUUAAUUAGUCUCUUUUUUAUCACUU
RNAcentral lists this long non-coding RNA (7307 nucleotides) under Lactuca sativa (garden lettuce). Its description in RNAcentral is "long non-coding RNA (LSAT_LNC007987)". Lineage: Eukaryota; Viridiplantae; Streptophyta; Magnoliopsida; Asterales; Asteraceae. The record is from RNAcentral.